Molecule: ribosomal RNA, 962 nt
Filed under: Coltriciella dependens
Lineage: Eukaryota; Fungi; Basidiomycota; Agaricomycetes; Hymenochaetales; Hymenochaetaceae
Description: LSU rRNA
Rfam family: Eukaryotic large subunit ribosomal RNA
Source: RNAcentral
AGCAUAUCAAUAAGCGGAGGAAAAGAAACUAACAAGGAUUCCCCCUAGUAACUUGCGAGUGAAGCGGGAAGAAGCUUCAAAUUUGAAAUCUGGCGGCUUUCGGUCGUCCGAGUUGUAAUCUGGAGAGGCAUUUUCCGCGUUGGACCGUGUACAAGUCUCCUGGAAUGGUGCGUCAUAGAGGGUGAGAAUCCCGUCCAUGACACGGACCGCCAAUGCUCUGUGAUAUGCCUUCGAAGAGUCGCGUUGUUUGGGAAUGCAGCGCAAAAUGGGUGGUAAAUUCCAUCUAAAGCUAAAUAUCAGCGAGAGACCGAUAGCGAACAAGUACCGUGAGGGAAAGAUGAAAAGCACUUUGGAAAGAGAGUUAAACAGUACGUGAAAUUGUUGAAAGGGAAACGCUUGAAGUCAGUCGCGUUCCGCGGAACUCAGCCUUACUUCGGUUUGGUGUACUUUCCAUGUGAACGGGUCAACAUCAAUUUUGGCCGGUGGAUAAAGGCGAGGGGAACGUAGCGUCGCUUCGGUGACGUGUUAUAGCCUCUUGUUGUAUACGCCGGCUGGGAUUGAGGACCGCAGCACGCCCUUCGUGGCCGAGGGGUUCGCCUCUACGUACCGUGCUUAGGAUGUUGGCAUAAUGGCUUUAAGCGACCCGUCUUGAAACACGGACCAAGGAGUCUAACAUGCUUGCGAGUGUUCGGGUGGAAAACCCUUGCGCGUAAUGAAAGUGAAAGUUGGGAACCCUUAUUCUUUCGGGUGAGGGUGCACUGACGCCCGGCCCUGAAGUCUUCUGACGGUGCUGCGGUAGAGCAAGUAUGUUGGGACCCGAAAGAUGGUGAACUAUGCCUGAAUAGGGCGAAGCCAGAGGAAACUCUGGUGGAGGCUCGUAGCGAUUCUGACGUGCAAAUCGAUCGUCAAAUUUGGGUAUAGGGGGCGAAAGACUAAUCGAACCAUCUAGUAGCUGGUCUGCG